AGAGUUCAAGAGUACGUGAAACCGUUCAGGGGUAAACCUGAGAAACCCAAAAGAUCGAAUGGGGAGAUUCAUCGUCAGCUUAUUUUGUAUAUGUAUUAGUUAUGAUGUGGGUUACUACUUGUAGUAUUGCCUGUACAUUYUUAUGCAUUUAAUUGCAAAAUAUGGUCGGCGUGCACUUCUCCCCUAGUAGAACGUCGCGACCCGUUGGGUGUCGGUCUACGGCCCAAGUGGAAGACUUUAGUGUUUUAAAUGCAUUAGAGACCAUUGGUGUUUUCUGACCGGCUACCCGGCGGCACUCGUACGGUAUUAAGCCGCAAUAUAUAUAUUUUUGCGUCCAAAUCGUCGCAAGCGAGGCCAGUUUAUGAUAGUACGGACCUAGUGCCGUCGUUGUAGCUGGCCAGCUGUUGGUUGUUACGAUUAUCUAGGACUGGCUAAAAAAAAAAUUACCGGUCGGCGAUGCUACUGCUUUGGGUACUUUCAGGACCCGUCUUGAAACACGGACCAAGGAGUCUAACAUGUGCGUAAGUCAUUGGGAUAUUUUUAAUAAAUUAAACCUAAAGGCAUAAUGAAAGUAAAAGUCGACCUUGCGUCAACUGAGGGAGGAUGAAUUAUUUUAAGAUAUAAUUUCGCACUCCCGGGGCGUCUCAUUCUCAUUAUGAGAAGAGGCGCACCUAG
Molecule: ribosomal RNA, 675 nt
Filed under: Odontodoryctes seyrigi
Lineage: Eukaryota; Metazoa; Arthropoda; Insecta; Hymenoptera; Braconidae
Description: partial large subunit ribosomal RNA
Rfam family: Eukaryotic large subunit ribosomal RNA
Source: RNAcentral